UUCCUUUUUUGCACAGCCUGAACCUUUGCUGCCACCCCAGGGAGUUGGGACGCUGAGAAGCGGGGAGGGCCAGGGAGUGCGUAACCUCGCAGCUGCUCAGGGUGCAGCCUCUGGCCGUGCUUCUCUACUUCCUUCUGGAUUAGGAGCUGAGUGAGCAAACAUGCCAAGAACUGCAGUACACUCCGGGACACGGAGCCUGAUUGGAGCAGAGGAAAGUCCAGGAACUUGGCGUUCUGCAGUGUCUUUAAGAUCUCAUGUCCCACAAACACAGGGACCAUGGCCAUUUUCCCCAAGGUCUUCCUCAAGCAAAUAUUAUCGUGCCUGGCACAUAACACAAACCUAACCAAGCACAUUUACUACUGGCAGACAGUCAACCUCUUUGUGUAAUGAAACAAUACUUUGUGAAAACCAGUGCCCAGAAGAAAAUACCCAGAAGCUGCUUCUUUUGAACAGCCUUUAUUAUUUUCUGUCUUUACUACAGAAAAGCAAAAACUCUAUAAGAUGCCUUUUUUGAUAUGAUCCUGUCUACAUGCAAUUUUUGAAUUCUUUCUAGAAGUCUUUUAGAUCCUGUUGUCCACAUUCUUCACUGGAAAUAUGUGUACAAA
Myotis daubentonii (Daubenton's bat) is the source of this 605-nucleotide long non-coding RNA. RefSeq lists it as uncharacterized. The record is from RefSeq and is a predicted model, not a curated record. Lineage: Eukaryota; Metazoa; Chordata; Mammalia; Chiroptera; Vespertilionidae.